RNAcentral lists this ribosomal RNA (486 nucleotides) under uncultured bacterium. Its description in RNAcentral is "bacterial SSU rRNA". It matches the Rfam family "Bacterial small subunit ribosomal RNA", at positions 28 to 526 of the family's 1533-position model. The record is from RNAcentral.
GACGAACGCUGGCGGCGUGCUUAACACAUGCAAGUCGAACGAUGAUCCCCGUGCUUGCACGGGGUGAUUAGUGGCGAACGGGUGAGUAACACGUGAGUAACCUGCCCCUCACUCUGGGAUAACCUCGGGAAAUCGUGGCUAAUACCGGAUAUGAGUACCUGCCGCAUGGUGGGUGCUGGAAAGUUUUUCGGUGAGGGAUGGGCUCGCGGCCUAUCAGUUUGUUGGUGAGGUGAUGGCUCACCAAGGCGAUGACGGGUAGCCGGCCUGAGAGGGCGACCGGCCACACUGGGACUGAGACACGGCCCAGACUCCUACGGGAGGCAGCAGUGGGGAAUAUUGCACAAUGGGCGAAAGCCUGAUGCAGCGACGCCGCGUGGGGGAUGACGGCCUUCGGGUUGUAAACCUCUUUCAGCAGGGAAGAAGCGAAAGUGACGGUACCUGCAGAAGAAGCGCCGGCUAACUACGUGCCAGCAGCCGCGGUAAAAC